Long non-coding RNA from Trematomus bernacchii (emerald rockcod), 169 nucleotides. RefSeq lists it as uncharacterized. The transcript is spliced from 3 exons. NCBI's taxonomy places the organism in Eukaryota, Metazoa, Chordata, Actinopteri, Perciformes, Nototheniidae. The record is from RefSeq and is a predicted model, not a curated record.
UUUGUCUCGCAAGACUAAAUACUGUAGAACAUUUGUUGGACACCUUACAUUACUUCCUGAAUUGCACAUUUUGAAUCCUGAAUAUGGUGACCAACAUGUUGCUGCUAGUCCUCUUUGUUUCAGAUUUUCUCCCACAUCUUGUUGAAGGUUCUUGUGAGCACCUUCGCAU